Molecule: ribosomal RNA, 323 nt
Filed under: uncultured eukaryote
Lineage: Eukaryota
Description: partial 18S ribosomal RNA
Rfam family: Eukaryotic small subunit ribosomal RNA
Source: RNAcentral
CCCUUAGAUGUUCUGGGCCGCACGCGCGCUACACUGACGAUGGCAACGAGUUUUUCCUUCGCCGAAAGGUGUGGGUAAUCUUUUGAAACAUCGUCGUGCUGGGGAUAGAUCAUUGCAAUUUUUGAUCUUGAACGAGGAAUUCCUAGUAAACGCAGAUCAUCAAUCUGCAUUGAUUACGUCCCUGCCCUUUGUACACACCGCCCGUCGCACCUACCGAUUGGAUGGUCCGGUGAAGCCUCGGGAUUGUGGCGGUUGCCUUUAUUGGUGUCCGCCGCGAGAACUUGUCUAAACCUUAUCAUCUAGAGGAAGGUGAAGUCGUAACA